Molecule: non-coding RNA, 3030 nt
Organism: Cicer arietinum (chickpea)
Lineage: Eukaryota; Viridiplantae; Streptophyta; Magnoliopsida; Fabales; Fabaceae
Source: RefSeq, a predicted model, not a curated record
AAGUGUGAAACCUUAUAAAAAGAAAUAAAAUUGAUGAUCUUAAAAACCCUAAUAUUUGGAUAUUGAUACUGUUUGUCUAACUAAUCUGCUCCCUAUCUCCCUCUCCUCGCCCAACUCGCUCUCUUCGUUCAGCUCGCUCUCGCCGCAAUGUUUUGGGAUGGGCGUUGUGCUCAGAUGUAUGAGAAAAUCUUAAAGAGGAAAAACCCUUGGUUACGAACAAAUAUCUAGAAAGAAGAAGGGGAACUGAACCCAGAAAAUUACACGCCCGAAAUAGCAUGAAGUUCAAGGCGAAAUGUGGUAAUGCCUUUUUGGAUAUAAAUACAAAGAGAGCUGUUCUCAUGUUCUCAAGACUUCUUCUUCUGUUGUCGCUCUUAUAUCUUAUACUGGAGAGCAAGAGUUAACUCAAGGUUCUGGCGUGAUCAUUGAAAAUGAUGAGAAUAAUGGCCAUAUUGUUUUGACAUCCGCCAAUCUCAUUCGGUGUCCUACCACAAAAGAUGUGAUGGAAGAUUAUCUGGCUGACGGUCUUAAGGGUACUCCGGCGACCUUCUCUAGGAGUUGUGGCUACAAACUUUUAUGCAGCUGAUAUAUCUCUCAAAGAGAAGAUUAUUCAAAAGUUUCUUAAUAUCUGCAACGGGCUAUUUGUUGAGAAGGUAUGCUACCUACAUAAUUCUCACGUGUCUCUUAUUCUUAUUUGACUUGCAUCUACUAGUUAUAUUUAUUUCUGAUUUCAAAUUGUUUAUAAUUAUACUUUGUCUAAAUUAUAUGCAAGUCUUUUUUAUCUUUAAUAAUUUAUAUUUUUAAUUAUUGUGUCAUUUUAACUUUUGCAUACCUUAGAUAAUAGAAAAGAUCAAAACAUUUGUCCAAAUUAGAAAGAAGAAACAAAGAUUCAGAUUCUGCAAACACACAAGGGUUUAUUGGUAUAGGCCAAGACUCCAAGCCCAAUCUACUUGUAAACCCAAAACUCUAAAAUCAUUUUCUCAAGUCCAAAACUGCGUCAUUUCUUUGUCUCUCAUUCGAAAUUGCACCCAGUCACUGCAACUCACGCACUCUCUCAACUACAAUUCAGUUUUCUCGCCACAAAUCUACAAUUUCAAUGGUAAUGUAACCAUGUACACAACCUUUUUUAUUUCUCGUAAUGCAACUAGUUAAUGAUAUGAAUUUUGAAAGAGUUAAUUAGUUAAACUCAUUUUUCUAUUUUUCUGUCAAAGUAUUAAACUAUGUUAUUCUAACGUGUUUUCAAUGCUUAACAACUUAAUGAUAGUUUAAUUUUAUUAUUGCACUGAUAUUUUAAAACAACCGUAGGCUUUGUCUGAUUAUGAAUUUCUCAAACUAAGUGAGAAAGGUGAAACCUUUGACAUGAUCGUAAGGCCGACGAAUUCAGGAAAUUGGACUAUUCGAUAUGCUACAGCUUUUACCCUGCAAUUCGACAUAUCGACUUGCGCCCAUAUUUUGCCUAAAUAAAAAAGAUAACAUCACGGUUUUUGUGUUGAACAGUGAUAUAAUUUAUAUGAAGCUGAUAUAAUUUAUAUGAAGCAAAUUUGAGACAUAACUUUGUUGUCAGAUAUGUCAAACAUCGUAUCUACACCGAGUUUGCAGAGGAUAGAUCGAUUUCUCCGUGUCAGACACUGUUAUAGGUCAUUCUAUUGGUAUGGCAUUCGUGUCAGACACUGUUAUAGGUCAUCCUGUUGGUAUGGUAUUCGUUUGACGUGUGAUGCAUACCAACGUUUAGACAACUUUGUUCUUUUUAGUCGUCCUUUUAGUUUGAACAUAAACCCGAUCAUUAUGAAUCAUAUUUGGAAGAAGACUUGUAAUAUGCAAGGCCAAAUAGUAGGUCCGAUUAUUGGAGAAUUUCACUGGGGAAAAUUGCUAUACACUUAACAUUGUUGAAAACAAUUUAUAAAAAGAAACAACCUUUAGGAGAAGGCUUUGAUUCUUUUAUACAUUCUUUCAGCCAAAUGUAUAGCAAUUUGGCUUGUCAAAUGCUCAACAAUCAACAAUCGUACCUACGAUUUGGUCUUCCAUAUUAGAAGCCUUAUUCCAAAUAUGAUCCAUAAUGCGAUGAUCUGGUGUUGUGUUCAAACUAACACACACUGUCUGACACGGAGACAUAUGUCUUGGUGUGGUGUUCAAACUAACACCUAUAACAGUGUCAGACACGGAUACCAUACCAUGUCUACAGAAUGACCUAUAACAAUGUCUAUCCUUUGCAAAUUCAAAUUCGGUGUACAACGGUGUUUGACAUAUAUGACAACACCAAUAUAGCUAUGUCCCAAAUUGACUUCAUAUAAAUUAUAUCAGCUUCGUAUAAAUUAUUUCACUGUUCAACCCAAAAACCAUGAUUUAGGCAAAAUAUGGGGCAAGUCACCAAUAAUACCUCAUUCUCCUUUAUUCCCACAACAUAUUUGUCGACUUGCGGGGAAAAGCUGUAGCAUAUCAUUAACUACUUUGACAAAAAAGUAGAAAAAUGAGUUUGACUAAUUCGCUCUUUUAAAAUUCAUAUCAUUAACUAGUUGUAUUAUCAUUGAGAGAAAUAAAAAGGCUGAGAAAAAUAAAAUUGUAGAUUUGUGGCGAGAAAAUUGGAUUGCAGGUUGACAGAGUGCGUGAGUUGCAGUGGCUGAGUGCGAUUUUCAAUUUCGAAUGAGAGACAAAGAAAUGACGCAGCUUUCAGGGAGGGGUUUGAGAAGAUGAUUUUAGGGUUUUGGGUUUAUAAGUGGAUUGGACUUGGAGUCUUGGCCUAUAGCAAUAAACACUUGUUUGUAGAAUCUUGUUUCUUCUAACCUGGACAAAUGUUUUGAUCUUCUAUAUUAUCUAUGUUAUACAAAAGUUAAAAACACACGAUAAUUAAAAAAAAAAAAAACACCAGAAUUGUAUGUAAUUUAGACGAACUAUAAUUUUAGACAAUUUGGAAUCAGAAAUAAAUAUAACUAGAUGCAAGUAAAAUAAGAAUCAGAGACAAUAUAUUAUAAGUAAAUUUUGUAGUUUAGUACAAAUUUGUAGUCUCAAAUAAAUUUUCAACUAUAUUAAUUAUUU